UACGUAGGGGCCUAGCGUUGUCCGGAUUUAUUGGGCGUAAAGAGCUCGUAGGCGGUUUGGUGAGUCGGGUGUGAAAUCUCCACGCUCAACGUGGAGGGGCCACCCGAUACUGCCAUGACUAGAGUCCGGUAGGGGAGUGUGGAAUUCCCGGUGUAGCGGUGAAAUGCGCAGAUAUCGGGAGGAACACCAGUAGCGAAGGCGAGUCCCUGGACAACACCUGACACUGAGGCACGAAAGCUAGGGGAGCAAACAGG
Molecule: ribosomal RNA, 254 nt
Filed under: uncultured bacterium
Lineage: Bacteria
Description: partial 16S ribosomal RNA
Rfam family: Bacterial small subunit ribosomal RNA
Source: RNAcentral